UUUGGGAACUAAAGGAAUAGUAUUUAGUUGUCAAGUUAGUGGAUGAUGUUUUUGCGUGUUCUCUUGGCGUAGAUCUUGAAAUAGGUGUAGAUAUAUCCUUUUUUUUUAUUUGAGUAAGAUAAUAAAAGAGUAGAGUUGAAAAUGGAAAUAUGAGAGAUUUAUGAUCCUAGGUAUGGUGGUUUAAUGAAAUUUUGGAAAUGGUAGUACUUUUUGUCAAUGAAAGUGCUUGCCGAAGUUGAAAAUAAAGAAG
Molecule: unclassified non-coding RNA, 250 nt
Filed under: Hevea brasiliensis (rubber tree)
Lineage: Eukaryota; Viridiplantae; Streptophyta; Magnoliopsida; Malpighiales; Euphorbiaceae
Source: RNAcentral